This 393-nucleotide transfer-messenger RNA is filed under the name Holosporales bacterium. It matches the Rfam family "Alphaproteobacteria transfer-messenger RNA". Rfam says of the family: Bacterial tmRNA, also known as 10Sa RNA or SsrA, is named for its dual tRNA and mRNA-like properties. Its role is to liberate the mRNA from a stalled ribosome. The record is from RNAcentral. Lineage: Bacteria; Pseudomonadati; Pseudomonadota; Alphaproteobacteria; Holosporales.
CGUGUUGUAUUAUGUAUUAAUGGGUGUUACAAUAAAGAUGUUACUUCUUGUAGCUAUAGUGAUAAACGACUUACGGAAUAGGUUUUAUGGACCAGGGGGCGGUACCCUGCGUCUCCGCCAUUGAGUUAAGUAUGGGGACGAAAUAGGUUCGACAUAUUGCGAUAAAGGUAUAUCUUUCACUCGGCAUUGUCCCGUCGUUAUUGGGCUGAUAAAAAAUAAAUGCUAAUCGUAACAGAAGAAGCAAAAAACUCGCGGGUAACCUUAACAGGAAGUCCGCUGCAAAAAAGGCCGCCUAAUCUGCCCGUGAUGGGAUUUUAAGCAUCUUUUUUGCUUGCUGUUUUAAACAGUAGAGUUGGCGGUUUGGGGGACUCCGAGCAACAGAAUUCCCCCGUU